UAUCACUGAAGAUGAGGCUCAAAAAGAUGUAGAUGGACAGGGGAAGCAAGUGAAGCAGAAUGCAAAUGUAGUUGGUGAUAGUGAGAAGGGAAUCAGUGAGCCUCAUGAUGAAAAUGUAAGUGAAGCGGUUGAAGAAAACAAGGCUCAUGCAAAAGAAGUGUUGAAGAUGGAUCAGAAAAUAAUAGUUCAUUUGAUAAAUGGAGCAACUUUUGAACAAUGCUAAGAAGCAAGUGCAGAAAAAUAUCACUGAAGAUGAGGCUCAAAAAGAUGUAGAUGGACAGGGGAAGCAAGUGAAGCAGAAUACAAAUGUAGUUGGUGAUAGUGAGUAGGGAAUCAGUGAGCCUCAUGAUGGAAAUGUAAGUGGAGGGGUUGAAGAAAACAAGGCUCAUGUUGAAGAAGAUGUUGAAGAUGGAUCAGAAAGUGAUUGUUCAUUUGAUGAAUGGAGCAACUUUGGUGAUAGUGAUGAGGAUAGUAUUAAUGAUAGUGAUUUCUGCAUUAAUACCCGCAAUGUAGAGGAGGAAGAUGG
RNAcentral lists this long non-coding RNA (526 nucleotides) under Ananas comosus (pineapple). RNAcentral's name for it is "long non-coding RNA (ACOM_LNC042443)". Lineage: Eukaryota; Viridiplantae; Streptophyta; Magnoliopsida; Poales; Bromeliaceae. The record is from RNAcentral.